Molecule: transfer RNA, 73 nt
Filed under: Stegodyphus mimosarum
Lineage: Eukaryota; Metazoa; Arthropoda; Arachnida; Araneae; Eresidae
Rfam family: tRNA
About the family: Transfer RNA (tRNA) molecules are approximately 80 nucleotides in length. Their secondary structure includes four short double-helical elements and three loops (D, anti-codon, and T loops). Further hydrogen bonds mediate the characteristic L-shaped molecular structure. tRNAs have two regions of fundamental functional importance: the anti-codon, which is responsible for specific mRNA codon recognition, and the 3' end, to which the tRNAs corresponding amino acid is attached (by aminoacyl-tRNA synthetases). tRNAs cope with the degeneracy of the genetic code in two manners: having more than one tRNA (with a specific anti-codon) for a particular amino acid; and 'wobble' base-pairing, i.e. permitting non-standard base-pairing at the 3rd anti-codon position.
Source: Rfam by way of RNAcentral
GCCUUCGUGGUGUAGUGGUCAGCACGCUCGGCGCGUAACUAAAAGGUCCGUGGUUCGAUUCCCGGCGAAGGCG